Non-coding RNA from Vicia faba (fava bean), 261 nucleotides. Lineage: Eukaryota; Viridiplantae; Streptophyta; Magnoliopsida; Fabales; Fabaceae. The record is from the annotation of a GenBank genome assembly.
AUGAGCAAAUCUUCAAAAAUUGUUGAUGCAAUGAAGACUCUUCUGCUAGAAACUAAGAAGGAAGUGAGUUCUGGUUCAAAGAGAGUAUUGUCCAACACUGUAACAAAUGUUGAAACAUGUAUUGGAACAUCCAGAACAAGGAAUACAUAUGUAACAAAGAUGAAGUCCCUCAAGAAGAAUCAUGUCAAGCUACAUGACUCAGACUCAGAUGCUGAUGAAGAUUGGGUCAAUUUCAUUAACUCAGAAGGUUGUGUUGGAUAG